Molecule: small nuclear RNA, 24 nt
Filed under: Arabidopsis thaliana (thale cress)
Lineage: Eukaryota; Viridiplantae; Streptophyta; Magnoliopsida; Brassicales; Brassicaceae
Description: snRNA_15308
Source: RNAcentral
AUUAUAUCCUCCUAAAUCGAAAGU